RNAcentral lists this ribosomal RNA (459 nucleotides) under Triticum aestivum (bread wheat). RNAcentral's name for it is "partial small subunit ribosomal RNA". Lineage: Eukaryota; Viridiplantae; Streptophyta; Magnoliopsida; Poales; Poaceae. The record is from RNAcentral.
CCUAGACAGUGGUACAAGAGAUUUGACACCUUUAUGCUCUCUCAAGGUUUCAAAAGGUCUAAUUAUGAUAGUUGUGUUUAUUUGAAAACUGUCAAUGGUUCAACUAUUUAUUUGCUCCUUUAUGUUGAUGAUAUGCUUAUUGCUGCAAAGAGUAUGUUAGAGAUUAAUGAACUAAAGAAGCAAUUGAGUAAUGAAUUUGAGAUGAAGGAUUUGGGUGCAGCAAAGAAAAUACUUGGCAUGGAAAUAUCCAGAGAUAGACCGUCUGGAAAAGUAUAUCUAAGUCAGAGAGGAUAUAUUGAUAAAGUUCUUCGUCGUUUUAAUAUGCAUAAUGCCAAGCCAGUAAGUACUCCGUUAGCUGCACACUUCAAAUUAUCAUCAGCUUUAUGUCCUAAGUCAGAUGCAGAUAUUGAGUACAUGUCUAGAGUUCCCUAUUCAAGUGCAGUUGGUUCACUUAUGUAG